CUACCAAUCAACUCGGCCACUUCUACCGGGCCCUUCAGCCGACUCCUCUGAUAAGAGAUAGGACUGACAACCGUAUAGCAGUAAUUAUUGUGAGACAGACCUUCCAGAUAAUCCCAGUGAUCAGCUCCAUCUCUUUGAUUCCCCGCUGCAAAAUACCGAGAGCAGUAACCAGUAAAAUAAUGGCUGCUACAACCUUGUACGACCGUAGAAGGCUGCGAAUCAAAGGAUAUUGAUUGAGAGGCGUUGCCAUAGUAACAAACCUAGUGUCAUUUUAACACUAAGGAAGAAAGAAGGACUUGGCACUUCAUUGCUUAUAGCUCUCGCGUGACACUAAAUGCGCUUUACUACUUAAUCACCAUUAAAAGUGACCUUCAGUGCGACGGAUGCAGUCAUCUGGCGGGUAUCGGGCCGGGGUGCUGAAGAGUAACUGCAUUAUGUGAAGCUAUUCACACGUCAGAGUGAUGGCCGGGGGUUAAUGUAAAUUGCAGACCAGCGUGUGUGUGUAAUGACCAAUUCAACCAGUAAAGGUUAAGUUAACACACAUAAAAUUUACCAGGUGGAGCCGAGCGCAGCUGCGUAUCGAUUUUAUCUCCUGAAUUGCUGGAAUAUCAGAGCUGCCCCCUUCUGCCUCCAUCCCUUGUUCUCGUAAAAUGCUGCGACUCUUUGCAUGUUCUUAUAAACGACAUCAUUUACAGACGAGGGAAUGAAGAAAAAAAAAAAAGAAAAAAAAUCCAAAAAUCUCCCAGUAUGAGGAUUGAAUGAUUGCUCUCAAGUGCGCCUGACAUUUAUGAUACUUGGUAAUGAGGUUCUGCU
Hyla sarda is the source of this 813-nucleotide long non-coding RNA. RefSeq lists it as uncharacterized. The transcript is spliced from 3 exons. NCBI's taxonomy places the organism in Eukaryota, Metazoa, Chordata, Amphibia, Anura, Hylidae. The record is from RefSeq and is a predicted model, not a curated record.